CACCGGCCGCUCAAGUGGUGACCGCUUUUAUUGGGCCUAAAGCGUUCGUAGCCGGUCCGGUAAGUCCUUGGGUAAAUCCUCAGGCUUAACCUGAGGAAUUCCGAGGAUACUGCUGGACUUGGAGUUGAGAGAAGUCGGAGGUACCUCCGGGGUAGGGGUGAAAUCCUAUAAUCCUGGGGGGACCACCAGUGGCGAAGGCGUCCGACUAGAGUAAGCUCGACGGUGAGGGACGAAAGCCAGGGGCGCGAACGGGAUUAGAUACCCCGGUAGUCCUGGCUGUAAACGCUGCGCGCUAGGUGUUACGUCCUCUACGAGGGGACGUAGUGCCGAAGAGAAGUUGAUAAGCGUGCCGCCUGGGAAGUAUUACCGCAAGGUAGAAACUUAAAGGAAUUGGCGGGGGAGCACCACAAGGGGUGGAGUCUGCGGUUCAAUUGGAUUCAACGCCGGGAAACUCACCGGGGGCGACGGCAGAAUGAUAGCCAAGCUGACGACUUUGCUUGACGAGCCGAGAGGAGGUGCGUGGCCGUCGUCAGCUCGUACUGUGAAGCGUCCUGUUAAGUCAGGCAACGAGCGAGACCCGUGCCCUUAGUUGCAACGUCCUCCCAUAGGGGGGAUGGCACUCUAGGGGGACCGCCAGUGAUAAACUGGAGGAAGGUGCGGGCGACUAUAGGUCAGUAUGCCCCGAAUCCCCCGGGCUACACGCGGACUACAAUGGAUGGUACAAUGGGCUUCGACUCCGAGAGGAGAAGGAAAUCCCCAAAGCCAUUCGAAGUUCAGAUUGUGGGUUGCAACUCACCCACAUGAAGCCGGAAUCCCUAGUAAUCGCGUGUCAUCAUCGCGCGGUGAAUAUGUCCCUGCUCC
Molecule: ribosomal RNA, 861 nt
Filed under: uncultured archaeon
Lineage: Archaea
Description: bacterial SSU rRNA
Rfam family: Archaeal small subunit ribosomal RNA
Source: RNAcentral